Molecule: long non-coding RNA, 1141 nt
Filed under: Piliocolobus tephrosceles (Ugandan red Colobus)
Lineage: Eukaryota; Metazoa; Chordata; Mammalia; Primates; Cercopithecidae
Description: lncRNA (ENSPTEG00000018067.1)
Source: RNAcentral
CUUAUAUUAUAAAAAGUACUUUUUAAACACUAACGCGUAAAAAAAAAAAAUUAAACAAAAAUACAGUAAUUUGGGGCAAUAUAUACAAAUUUUAUCUUUAUUAUCGCGACGGAUAUUGACAGGUGUACGUUGAAAGUUCUGGUGGAAGAUUUUUUAUGCUUUUUUUUUUUUUCCAUAUAUAUAAAUAUACACACAAAUAUACGUAUAUACAUACCUGCACUAUGAGGCUUUGUAAACAAAUUGAUCCAGUGGUGGAUAUUGUAAUAAUUGGUUUUGGUGUUAAGAGUAAAACAUUUAUUGAUAUUUUUUUACAAGAGGGUAAGUUAAGAUGCGUGAAUAUUAUUGUAAUAGGAAAAGAUACGUUUGUGUUUUUAAACAACUAUGUGCAAGAUAUUAUUUUAUGUAAAUCUAGUUAUAUUGAUAUAUACAAGUAUUGUAAAGAAAGAAAUAUAUUAUUUAUUAAUGACGAGGUAGAUUAUGUAGAUAAAAAUAAAAAAGUUAUAAAUUUUUUAUCUAAUAGGAAUUGUUUAAAUUAUGAUUUUUUGCUGUGUGAUUUUGAUUAUACAAGUAAUUUUUUAAUGAAUAGUGACAUGAGCCAUAACAAUAUAUACACAUUUAAAAAUAAAAAUUUAUUUUUUUAUUAUAUACAUAUUAUAUAUUUAUGUUUAAUUAAAUCACAAAAAAACGGUAAGACUGAUAUUGCAUCUUAUGAAAUAUUAAAAAAAUCACUUUUAAAAAAAAUCAAAGUUGAAAGGUUUUUCAAUUUUUUUUCUUACAAUGAUGGGUAUGUGGAUGCAAUAUUUGACAUGUAUAAUAAUAUUGAGGUAGGUUUGGGUUUGAAUAAGGAAAAUAUUGAUAAUGUCAGUUGUAACAGUAAUAUGUUGAUAGAUAAUAGUGGCACACCGAAUAAAAGGGUUAUGUUCAAUAUAAGUAAUACCCAAGAAACGAACAAUACAGACUCAGAUAGCAAUAAAGGGACUAACGUAAACGAUAAAAAAGAUACUUGUUUUGAAUUUUUGUUAUUGUGUGAUAAUAAUAUAGCUGGAAAAAAAUUAUAUAAUUGUAUACAUGAAUAUGUAAAAAAAAUAAACAUAAAUGUUAAAUUAUUGUACAUAUAUAUAACAAAUAAUACGAAUAUAAA